This 516-nucleotide long non-coding RNA is filed under the name Calidris pugnax (ruff). RNAcentral describes it as "lncRNA (ENSCPUG00000008109.1)". The record is from RNAcentral. Lineage: Eukaryota; Metazoa; Chordata; Aves; Charadriiformes; Scolopacidae.
AUGGAACUUAAAGUGGGGAAAAUAGUUGGAACUGAGCAUGUGACAGCCUGGAAUGCAGUCAAGCUGUGGAACACAAAGAAAUCUAAGUGGAAAAAUCAAAGCUCCAUUUUUUUUCCCCCUGAAAUAGGAAAAAAAAAAGCAGUUGCUCUGUGGAGGGUUGGUUCGAUCAAUGGGUUGGAAGUUUUCUUUCGAGCCAGCGCUCUGUUUCCCAAAUUGAGAAAAAACAAGGAAAAGUGAGCUCUUUUAUUCUGCUUUUAGUGAAAUGGGAGCAUUAUAGCUUUGAAAGCUCUGCAGCCUGACGUCACCGGAGUGACAUGUUCUAAGUGUGAUCGAGGUGGUAUGAACCCAGACUUUGCAGUGAGAAAUACCUGCCUGUAAAAAUGUUGCCUGAAGCUUUCUUGCAUGUAUAGAGCCUGAUUGUUCAUUUCGAGAACUGUUUUAGGAACAAUUAUCUUGAACAAAGGGCAAGCGGGUAUCACCCGUGAAAUAAAAUCUGCCAAGGUGUCUGUGGGAACA